CCUGGCUCAGGAUGAACGCUAGCUACAGGCUUAACACAUGCAAGUAGAGGGGCAGCAAUAGAUAGGUUUCGGCUUAUUUAGAUGGCGACCUGCGAAUGGGUGAGUAACACGUAUCCAACCUGGCUGUUACUGGAGGAUAGCCUCCCGAAAGGGAAAGUAAGACUCCAUGGAAUGAUUGCAAGACAUCUUGUGAUGAUUAAAGGUUACGGUAACAGAUGGGGAUGCGUCCCAUUAGGCAGUUGGCGGGGUAACGGCCCACCAAACCGACGAUGGGUAGGGGUUCUGAGAGGAAGGUCCCCCACAUUGGAACUGAGACACGGUCCAAACUCCUAUGGGAGGCAGCAGUGAGGAAUAUUGGUCAAUGGACGGAAGUCUGAACCAGCCAAGUAGCGUGCAGGAAGACGGCCCUAUGGGUUGUAAACUGCUUUUAUACGAGGGUAAAGUGUGCCACGAGUGGCAUAUUGCAAGUAUCGUAAGAAAAAGGAUCGGCUAAUUCCGUGCCAGCAGCCGCGGUAAUACGGAAGAUCCAAGCGUUAUCCGGAUUUAUUGGGUUUAAAGGGAGCGUAGGCGGAGGUUCAAGUCAGUUGUGAAAGUCUGUGGCUUAACCAUAGAAUUGCAGUUGAAACUGAAUUUCUUGAGUGUAGAUAAGGAUGGUGGAAUUUGUGGUGUAGCGGUGAAAUGCAUAGAUAUCACGAAGAACUCCAAUUGCGAAGGCAGCCAUCCGGGCUACAACUGACGCUGANGCUCGAAAGUGCGGGAAUCAAACANGAUUAGAUACCCUGNNAGUCCGCACCGUAAACGAUGGAUACUCGUGGUUGGCGAUAAACAGUCAGUCACCAAGCGAGAGCGUUAAGUAUCCCACCUGGGGAGUACGCCGGCAACGGUGAAACUCAAAGGAAUUGACCGGGGGCCCGCACAANCGGAAGGAACAUGUGGUUUAAUUCGAUGAUAC
This 952-nucleotide ribosomal RNA is filed under the name bacterium enrichment culture clone ZZ_E3b. RNAcentral's name for it is "bacterial SSU rRNA". It matches the Rfam family "Bacterial small subunit ribosomal RNA", at positions 18 to 960 of the family's 1533-position model. The record is from RNAcentral.